CAAGCUGGCGGCAUGCCUAUCAUGCAAGUCGAGCGAAUGACGAAGAAGCUUGCUUCUUCUGAUUUAGCGGCGGACGGGUGAGUAACACGUGGGCAACCUGCCCUGUAGAUUGGGAUAACUCCGGGAAACCGGGGCUAAUACCGAAUAAUCCAUUUCCUCACAUGGGGAAAUGUUAAAAGACGGCAUCUCGCUGUCACUACAGGAUGGGCCCGCGGCGCAUUAGCUAGUUGGUGAGGUAACGGCUCACCAAGGCGACGAUGCGUAGCCGACCUGAGAGGGUGAUCGGCCACACUGGGACUGAGACACGGCCCAGACUCCUACGGGAGGCAGCAGUAGGGAAUCUUCCACAAUGGACGAAAGUCUGAUGGAGCAAUGCCGCGUGAGUGAAGAAGGUUUUCGGAUCGUAAAACUCUGUUGUGAGGGAAGAACAAGUAUGAGAGUAACUGCUCGUACCUUGACGGUACCUCAUUAGAAAGCCACGGCUAACUACGUGCCAGCAGCCGCGGUAAU
This 510-nucleotide ribosomal RNA is filed under the name uncultured bacterium. RNAcentral describes it as "bacterial SSU rRNA". It matches the Rfam family "Bacterial small subunit ribosomal RNA", at positions 35 to 524 of the family's 1533-position model. The record is from RNAcentral.